Molecule: transfer RNA, 71 nt
Filed under: Camelus bactrianus (Bactrian camel)
Lineage: Eukaryota; Metazoa; Chordata; Mammalia; Artiodactyla; Camelidae
Also listed under: 2 other names
Rfam family: tRNA
About the family: Transfer RNA (tRNA) molecules are approximately 80 nucleotides in length. Their secondary structure includes four short double-helical elements and three loops (D, anti-codon, and T loops). Further hydrogen bonds mediate the characteristic L-shaped molecular structure. tRNAs have two regions of fundamental functional importance: the anti-codon, which is responsible for specific mRNA codon recognition, and the 3' end, to which the tRNAs corresponding amino acid is attached (by aminoacyl-tRNA synthetases). tRNAs cope with the degeneracy of the genetic code in two manners: having more than one tRNA (with a specific anti-codon) for a particular amino acid; and 'wobble' base-pairing, i.e. permitting non-standard base-pairing at the 3rd anti-codon position.
Source: Rfam by way of RNAcentral
GAGGGUAUAGCUUGGUGGUAGAGUAGGUGCUUAGCAUGCACAGGUCCUGGGUUCAAUCCCUGGUACUUCCA